RNA transcript from Diprion similis, 1390 nucleotides. It is a transcript of the gene named SPRY domain-containing protein 7, with no coding region annotated. Lineage: Eukaryota; Metazoa; Arthropoda; Insecta; Hymenoptera; Diprionidae. The record is from RefSeq and is a predicted model, not a curated record. The transcript has 5 exons.
GCUUGAUGAAACGAAGCGGCGGCGCGUCCAAUUCUACGAUCUGUCAUCAUCGUAAUACGGGCGAGAUGCCGUCUGCUCCGUGAUAUUUAAAUCAAAAGAUACGUGUAAAUUUGUGUGUUGCCGGACAGGCCGGACAGGUACGAACUGUUUGCGCGUAGUGUGUGCCGAUUUCGUGGACGAAAGUGUGGCGCGGUGAGAUAAUGAAUUUUGAAGUUUAGAUAGGAUAAUUGUAACUGAAUGAGACGAUGUUUUGCUGCUUGAGAAACUGCUUCGACGGCCUCGGCCUGUCGACAACGCAAAUGCCAAAAAGGGAACCGAACCCUAUCGCCCUAGACACUUCUCAUAUGGGUCACGAGGUUGUGAUUGUAAAGAAUGGUCUGAGAGUAUGCGGACGAGGUGCAGCUUUGACAAAUGCACCUUUGGCACAAAGUAAAAGUUACUUUGAGGUGAAAAUCCAGCAAGGCGGAGUUUGGGCAGUUGGUUUAGCAACGCGUUCUACCGAACUAAAUACCGCCGUAGGGGGAAGUGAUCAGGAAAGUUGGGCUUUGAAUUCUGAUGGUAUAAUACGUCAUAAUUCAGAAGAACUGCACAAGGUCCAGAACAUCGCUCAGGAGGGUGACAUAAUUGGGAUUUCAUAUGAUCAUAUAGAAUUGAACUUCUAUUUGAAUGGAAAGCUGCUAGAUGUUCCCAUCAUGGGAAUAAAAGUAACCAUAUACCCCAUCCUCUAUGUCGACGACGGAGCUAUUUUAGAUAUAAUAUUGGAUGAUUUUGCAUACCCGCCACCGAAUGGGUUUGAAAAAAUAAUGCUCGAGCAAUCCUUGCUCUAGCAUAUGUAUUCCACAGGCUAUUAAAAGGACACACGAAAAGCAUUCAACAAUAAGAAGAGAAACUAACCCAGUUACGCUCACACAGUAUUUUCUGAUCAAAGUUGACACACAACGGCUCUCGACUACCAAAAUGCUUUUUCUUAAGCUACAGCUAAGGUAUUAUGCAACGAAGAUACAAAACACAGAAUGAUAUGGCACAAUUUCGAAUAGAUAUCAUUGAAUGACGUUGUGCAGUUACGGAUGGUGUUUUUACAAUUUUCGACUUCACUUUCGUGUCCAGUCCUUAUUGGGGCGAUUUAAUUAUCAUCGAGACUCCGACCAUUUUGUUUUAAAAACUACAUAGGUUACUUGUAAAAGAGCAGGUCAAUGUUUUGCCUUUGUUGAUAGCUAAGUUGAAAAUGAUGUUCAGUAUAGUGAAUGUAAUGAAACAGUACUUAAAUGAAAAAAAAUUUACUGGGAAAAUAUUCCACUUGAGUAAGUGUCAAAUAAAUUUUUAUCACAAGCUGUAUAUAUCCUGCAGAACACCCUUGAUUCAAGCUGAUUAAAACGACACAUUUGCGAUA